UAAAGAAACAUUGGCUAGAGAAACCAAAUGAAUCAUAAGUUGGCUUAAUUUAUUUAGUAAAUGGCUGUUUAGACAUACAUUAGCCUAUAUUGCCAAAAGUAUUGGCACCCCUUCUAAUGACCUACUUUAGUAAUUUCCAUGAAUACAGAUCUUAGUGUUUGAGCAUAUAAUGAUAUUCUGGGGAAUUGUGUGCUUCUAAAUUUAUAGCAAACGUUAUUAUCACCAUUUCCAUCCAAUGAUUCAAAGAGAACAAAAUCGUCACUUUCAUGACAUUUCCAUCCAGCGUUUUUUUGUUUUGUUGGAUUUUUCAUCCAAAAUGCGCAUAAAAGUAGGUGGAUGGAAACAUAGCUUCAUUCUCACUCCCAACUCCGGACCCUUUAGCAUAAAUUUUCAUUGCGCAGAGUCCUCCAUUGCUUUAAAUAAGAAACCUUUGGGAUCAAUAUACUGACUUAAAAGGCACUGGGAAUUUUAUCUUCAUUAUUAAAUUAUACCCUCAAAAGAUUAUUUAAAGCUAUUUUGUGUUUAAAUUAGAAAGUAUUAAUAGACAUUACAAAUAGUAGCCUUAGAAAGAAAUAUUUGAUUUGAUUCUACUAGUGUUGUCACGAUACCAAAAUUAUUGUUACAACAGCAUAAAAAGACGUAAAAGAAGAUAAAUUGAGAAUGUAUUGUUUCGUUUAUGCAAUGAAAGUCAUUGGUAACCAAAACAGUCUUCAAAAUACCUUCUUUCAUGUUCCACAAAAGA
Molecule: long non-coding RNA, 742 nt
Organism: Carassius carassius (crucian carp)
Lineage: Eukaryota; Metazoa; Chordata; Actinopteri; Cypriniformes; Cyprinidae
Exons: 3
Source: RefSeq, a predicted model, not a curated record